UGCGCAGGCGGAGGAUUAAGUCAGUGGUGAAAUCUCACAGCUCAACUGUGAAACUGCCAUUGAAACUGAUUUUCUUGAAUACGGUUGAGGUAGGCGGAAUACGUUAUGUAGCGGUGAAAUGCUUAGAUAUAACGUAGAACACCGAUUGCGAAGGCAGCUUACUAAGCCGUUAUUGACGCUGAGGCACGAAAGCGUGGGGAGCGAACAGGAUUAGAUACCCUGGUAGUCC
Molecule: ribosomal RNA, 229 nt
Filed under: uncultured bacterium
Lineage: Bacteria
Description: partial 16S ribosomal RNA
Rfam family: Bacterial small subunit ribosomal RNA
Source: RNAcentral